RNAcentral lists this ribosomal RNA (253 nucleotides) under uncultured bacterium. Its description in RNAcentral is "partial 16S ribosomal RNA". It matches the Rfam family "Bacterial small subunit ribosomal RNA", at positions 524 to 776 of the family's 1533-position model. The record is from RNAcentral.
UACGUAGGGUGCAAGCGUUGUCCGGAAUUAUUGGGCGUAAAGAGCUCGUAGGCGGUUUGUCGCGUCUGCUGUGAAAACUCGGGGCUUAACCCCGGGCCUGCAGUGGGUACGGGCAGACUAGAGUGCGGGAGAGGAGAGUGGAAUUCCUGGUGUAGCGGUGGAAUGCGCAGAUAUCAGGAAGAACACCCGUGGCGAAGGCGGCUCUCUGGAACGCAACUGACGCUGAGACGCGAAAGCGUGGGGAGCAAACAGG